CUUCCGUGGCCAACUGGUAAACUGGUUGUUGGCGCUCUAAUCCAUGCUAGCACUUGGUCGUUGGCCCCGCGGAGGCUCUUAUUAUGAAUAUCUUAAUAACCCAAGAACUGGCUGGUGACGACCCAAAGGGCCUGCCUGAUAGGCAGGACAUGAUAACAAGCGGGAAACCGAGAAGAGCAGCUGCUGCCGGAGGACCAGGCACAAAUUGCGGUCAACAUUAAUUAAAAAUACGUUUUUGGGUGACCCGCGCAGAUUUCCCAGGCGCAGAAUGGGUGGCUGGAUUGGAGGAGGGGACGCGACUGAUGAAAUUGCGGAUCAAGCACAAUGAAAAAAAGUUAAGGGCCGUCGCCCGCAGGAAAGUCCCAGCAAAAGGUAAGUGGAAAAGCAACCUGAGCUGCCCAGAGGUGAGGAUUGCAGUGGCUCGAAAAAAACCUAUGAUAGUUGAUAGUACAGUGGUACCUAGAAAUACUUGCUUAUAGUUGCUUAUAGUAUAGUUUUAUACCAUAUAAGUAAAAAAAGUGUAUGACACAUUUUUUUU
Molecule: non-coding RNA, 538 nt
Organism: Drosophila melanogaster (fruit fly)
Lineage: Eukaryota; Metazoa; Arthropoda; Insecta; Diptera; Drosophilidae
Source: Ensembl